This 676-nucleotide long non-coding RNA is filed under the name Gossypium raimondii (Peruvian cotton). RNAcentral describes it as "long non-coding RNA (GRAI_LNC006711)". Lineage: Eukaryota; Viridiplantae; Streptophyta; Magnoliopsida; Malvales; Malvaceae. The record is from RNAcentral.
CCCAGUCCAUUUAAAAUCUUAAUUUACGGGGCCCAAAACCAUUUACACAGCCCAAUAAACUAAAUACAGUCGGCCCAACAUGGCCCAAUUUCAUUAACUCAAGCCUAAAUUAACCCAAUAAACUUGGGUCAAUUCUAACCCAAUUACAGGGCCCAAUUGGCCUAAAGUUCCAAAAACCCUAACAGAUUAGUAGCAGGUCAGCAGCCGAAUCGUCCAGGCGCCACCAUCACCCCCACGUCGUUGCUCCCACGUCGCAGCAACUCCCACACACGCACGUACCUAUAACAGACCACAACCACGAGCAGCAAGCAAGAGAAGAAACUGAAAAUAUUAUAGAUUGUAAACAGUUUUUUAUUUUGGGGAUAUAAAAGCAAAGUAAAAAUCUGUAAAAGAAAGGGGGGACGAAUUUUGUAUUGAAAGAGAAAGAAAAUACAAAAGAAAAAAGAGAAAAGAAAGAUUUUGAAAGUGAGUUUCUUUUUCGUUUCUGUUUUUACUGUUUUCUUUUUUUCGAUUAGUUCUUUCUUUUGUAAAAAAUAAAGAAAAGGAGAAACUUACCUGAGUCGGAGUCGGCGGCGGAGCUUUGACGGCUACGGUGGCUAGGGCUUUAAGGAAAACCUAGCAAAGAAAUCCUCCCCUUUCCCCUCUGUUUAUUGUUUUAAACAAAAAGAAAAAAAAU